This is a long non-coding RNA of Rattus norvegicus (Norway rat), 1259 nucleotides long. Ensembl lists it as uncharacterized. NCBI's taxonomy places the organism in Eukaryota, Metazoa, Chordata, Mammalia, Rodentia, Muridae. The record is from Ensembl.
AGAGCGUAGGUGGAGCGUAGACCCAAUGCUAACACCAUCUGUUGACCAGUGGUUACAUACGAUCCCUGAGUCCAGAAGCUCAAAGUAUUCUGUGCUCUAAAAUCACAACUACAUUACUGUCGUAAUGUCAUAGCUGCUGCAGAAAUGGGAAGAAAAAGAAAAAAACCUUGAUAGUUCUCCGGGGGUUCUCUGUGCUGUCUGCAGUUGCUUUGGUGUCUUCUGUCUGUCACUCUGCCUCCAGACAGCAGAAAAAGACUUAGUGCCUGCUCCCCACCUGCUCCUUCGGAAAUGCUGCCAGAAUUGGGUGAGAGCAUUCUACGCCCAGAACCUCAAAGAUGGCGGCCGUCUAAACCACAGAAGCUCAAGUUGCAAAUCAUUUCCACCAGGCGAUUCUUAACCAUUUCGAUCAGUCAGAGCUCCAAGGAGCCACUUCUGCAGACCGUGCAACGGUGUGAGGCUGAUCAAAUCAACCCUGGAAAUCGUAAUUGGCAAACCUCCUCGUGUGGUUUUGAGAAAUUAAUCAAGACAGGUUUGGUGAGCCUUUGCUGAGAGAGUCUCUUUGGGACAAACGACUCCGUUCCCAGUGCACUGUUACAAAGGAAAACUCCAGCUGCAAAUCCCAAGGUGACCCAUUUAUCCACUCGGUUGGAGAAUAAUGACUUCUUAAGCACAGCAAAUAAUUCCGCUGGUUUAAAACCAAUUUGGUUAAUACGAUUAAAUGAACUAUUUGAUCUUUCGGGUUCAAAACCCGUCAAUUUGACUCAGGCGUUAACAUUUUAAUAAGGACGUAAGCGUCGUGAAGAUUCCAACGCCUUCCCAUAACGUUUCGGAGGAGUGAGUUUCCGAAAGUGGCACAUGUCACAUCACACUUCAAAUCCCCAGAAGUACUCAGAAGAAUUGAUAUUGCAAUAUUUCUCACCUUAAGAACUCAUUUCGUUUAUUGGUGUUACCAAAGGAGAAACUGGAGUCAAGCUCUGCCCCCUCCCCACCCCACCCCUUACCCCGUGUGCUAGCCUCAGUGGUCACCUCCCAGUCUCAAGGCUUCCUCAGAGCACAGAAGCACUGUAUGAGCGCUCCAUCUGCAGGCCAGAAGAGGACAUCAGAUCUCACGAAAGAAGGUUGCAAGCUACCAUGUGGUUGCUGGGAACUGAGAUCGGGACCUCCGGAAGAGCAGCCAGUUCUCUUAACCGCUCAGCCUUCUCCCCAACCCCUAAUAAACACAUAUUAAAAUUAAAUAAAAUUUCAUUCUUGCUCCAAAC